AAAUGAAUAGACGGGAGCCCGCACAAGCAGUGGAGCGUGUGGUUUAAUUCGACGCAACGCGCAGAACCUUACCAGGGUUUGACAUCAUGCUGCCGUUUGUGGAAACACAAAUUUUCGUAGCGAUACGAACGGCAUGACAGGUGUUGCAUGGUUGUCGUCAGCUCGUGUCGUGAGAUGUUGGGUUAAGUCCCGCAACGAGCGCAACCCCUAUCCCGUGUUGCCAGCGGUUCGGCCGGGGACUCACUGGAGACUGCCGGAGACGAUCCGGAGGAAGGUGGGGAUGACGUCAAAUCAUCAUGGCCCUUAUGCCCUGGGCUACACACGCGCUACAAUGGUCAAUACAACGGGCAGCGAAGGAGCGAUCCGGAGCGAAUCCCACAAAAUUGGCCUUAGUUGGGAUCGCAGGCUGCAACUCGCCUGCGUGAACGCGGAAUUGCUAGUAAUCGCGAAUCAGCUACGUCGCGGUGAAUACGUUCCCGGGCUUUGUACACACCGCCCGU
This 500-nucleotide ribosomal RNA is filed under the name uncultured bacterium. RNAcentral's name for it is "bacterial SSU rRNA". It matches the Rfam family "Bacterial small subunit ribosomal RNA", at positions 903 to 1397 of the family's 1533-position model. The record is from RNAcentral.